CACGUAGGAGGCAAACGUUAUCCGGAUUUACUGGGCGUAAAGCGCGUGUAGGUGGUACUGUAAGUAGGGCGUGAAAGCUCCUGGCUCAACUGGGAGAGGCCGUUCUAAACUACAGAACUAGAGGAUGGUAGAGGGAGGUGGAAUUCCAGGUGUAGCGGUGGAAUGCGCAGAUAUCUGGAGGAACACCGGUGGCGAAGGCGGCCUCCUGGACCAUUCCUGACACUCAGACGCGAAAGCUAGGGUAGCAAACGGGAUUAGAAACCCUAGUAGUCC
This 273-nucleotide ribosomal RNA is filed under the name uncultured prokaryote. RNAcentral's name for it is "partial 16S ribosomal RNA". It matches the Rfam family "Bacterial small subunit ribosomal RNA", at positions 524 to 796 of the family's 1533-position model. The record is from RNAcentral.